UACGGAGGGGGCUAGCGUUGUUCGGAAUUACUGGGCGUUAAAGCGCACGUAGGCGGCUUUGUAAGUUAGAGGUGAAAGCCCAGGGCUUAACCCUGGAAUUGCCUUUAAGACUGCAUCGCUAGAAUUGUGGAGAGGUAAGUGGAAUUCCGAGUGUAGAGGUGAAAUUCGUAGAUAUUCGGAAGAACACCAGUGCGAAGGCGACUUACUGGACACAUAUUGACGCUGAGGUGCGAAAAGCGUGGGGAGCAAACAGG
RNAcentral lists this ribosomal RNA (254 nucleotides) under uncultured bacterium. RNAcentral's name for it is "partial 16S ribosomal RNA". It matches the Rfam family "Bacterial small subunit ribosomal RNA", at positions 524 to 776 of the family's 1533-position model. The record is from RNAcentral.